Molecule: small RNA, 112 nt
Filed under: Salmonella enterica
Lineage: Bacteria; Pseudomonadati; Pseudomonadota; Gammaproteobacteria; Enterobacterales; Enterobacteriaceae
Description: RtT sRNA
Rfam family: RtT RNA
About the family: This family represents a bacterial cis-regulatory element known as RtT RNA.
Source: RNAcentral
AUGGAAGAUUCGAACCUGCCGCAGGUUCGGGUCGAACGCAGUGAGACAACGGAGCCGCUUGCGGCGACGGCCCGAAGGGCGAGCGAAGCGAGUCAUCCUGCACGACCCACCA